AAGAGAAAUGCUAAGAAAUAUGAACAAGGAGGGAAUAAAGUUAUUCUACCAAUGCAACAAUGAAUUUGUAAUUUUAUGUAGUGUAAUGGCGUAAUGUAGUUUAAUAUUCAAAUUUUAGGGGAAGGAUGCCACAGAAAGAAGAUACAGAAUUCAAGGAAAUGCCGAAGCAUUUCUAACUGAUUAUGGAAUAUCAUCAGGUAUGUUAGCUUGUGGCAUAUUGUUGCUAGAAAGUAUAUGAUGUAUCAUAAUAGAUUAUAUUUGUGUAUAGUGUUGCCAAGUUUCACACCCGUGUUGAAAGUACUAUGGUGUUUAACAUGUCAAAAACUUUUUCUCUAUUUUCUACUUAUCCGUCAAAACUUUUUUUGCUGUAAUUUGUCAUUUAUUUAAUAGUGCAAGACCUUGUUCUCUGUAUUUUUUUCUUAUCUGUCAAAAUCUCCGUGUAUCCUUCUUAGUGGCUUACUGAAAAAAGGAUGUUGAUUUCCUUUUCAUCGGUUGGCUGUGCUAAUCUAUUAACUUCAUUUUUCCUUGCCAACUUUCUAAUUGUGUUUGUUAGUUUAAUUUGUAGGAUCCCCAGUCAUUUCCUUGCUUCCCGGAAGUAGAUUACAGGAGGUUACUCGAAUGUUCCCCAUAUUCUCAAGAACUUUGCAACAAUUAAAAGGUUCUUUUCCAGACGUGGUAACAGCAGUUCAUGUGGCACCUAAUCAACAUGUCGAAGACUACAUUAGUAAAGCUGUUUGUAAGUGGCCAUCAUCAGUUGUAUUGGUUCCUGGAGGAUCACACCAGAUGAAAUACAAUUCAUUUAGUGUAAGGCCUUGAGUCUUGUAUCUUUACAUUUUAUAGUGAAGUAGCUGGGACUAGAGUUAUGCUUCAUGUUCCGUAUAUGAACUUUUGGGGCUUAGAAAAAGGUUUUAAUGCUCAUUUUUCUAGAAGAAUUAACUAUUUUGGGACAUACUAUGGUCGAAAUGACUCAAUGAAUUGGAAAUGGGGCAAGUCCCUUGGUGGCAUUAUUAAGGUACAUACCUCAAUGAAUAUGCCUUGCGAUGGAAAACUAGCAUCUAUUAUCUUUGCAUUUAAUUGUUCCUCACAAUGCUAAGAAUAUGACGGGUUCAAGCUAUGGAAACAGCCUCUUGCAAAAAUGCAGGGUAAGGCUGCGUACAAUAGACCCUUGUGAUCCGGCUCUUCCCCGUACCCCACGCAUAGCGGGAGCUUAGUGCACCGGGCUGCCCUUUAUCGCUGAGAAUAUGAUACACUGUGAGUAGGAAAGAGCCAGCCGCUUGGUUUGGAUCUGGGGGAUCUCAAUUCCAAGGAUGAAGACCUAGUCUUUGCUACUAAAGGCUGGCCAAUUGGCUAGCAUGUUUUCUAGUUCUAGUUUUGUUCUUGAUAUAUAGAUAAUAUAUCUUCUAAGCUCCUGGCAGAUUGCUGAAGUUAUUUAUUAAUCCAGAACAAAUAAAAAUAUUUAUAUAACUCCAGAACAAGUGAAAGUGGAAGGUACUUUGUGCUUGUUACGAGUUUUUUUUCUUCAAAUUGUUUCAUUUUUUUCCCUGUUAUUCAAACCGUUGUUAUGUGGAUUUGAUACUAGGCAAGCUAUAGGUAUGUUUUUAAGUGCCAGCAGUAACUCCAAGAUCUGUUUCAGACAAUAUUGUGUCUUAUCCAACUAGACUUUCCUAAAUAUAGUUGUUGGUAUUGGAUUCUGUGUGAAUUGUGUGCUUGGCACUUUGUCACUAUAAUUUGUUUUUCCUUUUUAUCUAAUUUUUUAUCACAAAAUGAAACUUUAGUGCAUUUUUUGUAAUUAUUGAAGGGGAUAUACAUAGCCUAUGGUCCUCAAUUUUUCUGCUGUUUAAUCAUCUUUCCCGUAAAGAAAUAACAUAUCCUAUGAAAGUAUGAAUGACUAAAUCAACAUGGAAAUAAUUCCUGGGUUGAUGACUUGAUGUUGUAUGACUGUCCUUUCUCUUUCCCUUCCUUUUGUCUCAUGCUCAUGAAUAUAUUGAAUUGCAUCAUGUUUCAAGGUGUAGGUGGUAACAUGAACUGUGUUUCUGCAUUAUGCAGGCAAGCAGUGUAGCACUAUGCACUUCUGGUACAGUUGCGAUGGAAAUGCAGCUUGCAAGACUGCCAUGUGUUGUUGCGUAUCGAGCCCAUCUCCUGACAGAAUUAUUUAUACGAUACAAAGCUAUUAUACCAUACAUCUCUCUUCCUAAUAUUCUUUUGGAUUCAGCUGUAAUCCCUGAAGCUCUAUUUCAAGAUUGCACUCCGUCAAAAUUGGCAUCAUUACUCAAGUAAGCUUCAACUAAGUGAUCCUUGUUCCUUUUUGGUUUCCCACCCUAACUGAAGCUUCUUAAAUUAAACUUCAAUGACGUGUAAAGUGACCUGUCUUAGACAAUAUAAUCCUGGGAAAUGCAUGAGCUGGACUAUACUUUUUUCUACCUUGUAGUUUUGUUGUUUUCUGGUUGGCAAAAGUAAACCAAACCAAUCAUAAAAAAGGAACAACAGAUUUUUAUGACGAACCAUCCAAAAAAAUAGAAUGAUUUUUAAAAAAAUGAACAAUAGAGAGUCUGCCUCUGUUUGUGUAAGAGUACAUGCUGUAAAUCUUUAAAAUGGCUUAAAUAUGACUUGGAAUCUUGAAAUCACAGGGAUUUAAUAGUUGAUGACAACUUUCGAGAAAAACAAAUUAUUGCAGCUGAAAAGGUUUUUGAGCUGCUAAGACCUCCAGAGAUGAACAUUAGUUGCUCAAUCCAGGGGGGGAUGAGUGUUCCACUUUCUGAUUGUACACCAAGUAUGGUCGCAGCAAAUGCAAUGUUGUAUUCUCGGGGUAAGCUGGAGUAAGGUGGUUCGUGCUAAUUCAAACAGUUGAAGUGAGCAAAGUUGAGAUAAGAUGCAGCUAGAGAGUUUUGAAGAAAAUCUGUUAGAAAGUCAGCAACUGAAUAGCAGUUGGAUAAUUUCUAUGCAUAUAGCGAAGCUCAAGUUGUAUCUGCAAGCUGUGUAAAAUAGUUAAUGAAAAAUUUUCACCUCGUGGAAAUCGUCCUUCUUUCUCUUCCUCUCUCAGAUUAAGGAUUGUAACAGCUGUGUUGCAUUGGAUUAAUGAAGUGAGAAGUCAAAAGGAGAUCAGAAAUAUUUCUAGGAGAUGUUGGAGAUUUAUCUGAAGUAUCCUAUGAUCAUAAGCUAUCAAUCUAUGAUUUGAACCAAAUGGGGUUCUAGUGGUUGAACUAUUCAAAUAUACUAUUUGAUAAGUUGGCUGUAUGCGUGGUGAUGCAUGUUCUUUACCUGAGUGCUUUAUUAAUUCUUGGUGAUGUAAACUAGUCUCCGUCUCUAGUGCUUUAUAAAAAAAUAAAACUAUAUUUAUAACAUGAACUUGCUGCUUCCCUUUCUUUUAUCUUUUCUUAAAUCGAGGGUCUUCCGAAAACAGUCUCUCUGCCUUCUUGAAGGUAAGGGUAAUGUCUGCAUACAUACUACCCUCCCAGAUCCCUUGUGGGAUUAUACUGGAUCUGUUAUUGUUAUUGUAUAUCAUGAACUUGCUCAUCUCUUUUGGUCCCAAAAACCAUCCUUAGAUCUUAAAGUACCAAAUGACAAUGUACUAAUUUUUCAUCACUAUUCGCCAUAAUUAUAUACUUGAUUAUUUCCUUAUUUUUUGAAUUAUGAAUUGAGAAUAGAGGUCCGACCGGCCAUAUCUAGAAGUUUGACAAGGGAAUUGUAUUUCCAUGUCUAAAGAAUUAAACAUCUCAUCAGACACAUAAAUUUAAUUGAAGUAAAAGUCUAUUUGUUCCAUCGACAACUAUUGAGGAAAUCUCUCACGUUCCAAAUUUAUGGGGGACCUAUUACUUUAACCGGAAAAGUAAAGUAUUAGGGGAAAAAAGAUGUUGAGAAAAAUUAAUUACAAGUAGCUUGUUUUAUUUUUAAGAUUACAAGUUUCAUUUUUAUAGAGAAUUACAUAUCUAUUGAAUAUUUGAUAUAAAUAAAAAGUUGUGUCACUCAAUAACUUUAUAUAAGUUANNNNNNNNNNNNNNNNNNNNNNNNNACAUAUACGAAGUUAUACGAAUAACUCUAAAUCUACUAACUUAAAAUCCUCAUCCUCCUUGAUAGAUUGUGUCAGGUUUCUCUUCCUCUAUCUCAAAACACACAAAAUUUGCUCAUUGCUCUAUCUCAAUAUGUCUCUUGCUUCUUGUUAUUGGACGAUUAUGCAAGAUUGGGCUUUUUUGUCUUGUUUUGGUUAUUAUGCUUCAGUCUUAUGGCUCGAUAUAUAUUUCUGUAGCUUUGCUUAGAAGACGCAGAUUCGGCUUGAGCUAUAAAUUUAUAUACACAUUAUAUAUUUGAAUAUUUUUUUAAGUAUACAUACUUAUGCUGCGUCCGAACUCAUUUUCACAAAGAGUUAGUGGGUGAGUGGAAGCUCGAAUCCACUAACUGUAAUCCUGGAUCCACCUCUGUUGCACAUGAAUUCUUCUUUCAUUUCUUUCUCGCUUAAGCCCUUUAGCAUUUCCAACAGACUUUGGUUGUUACUGUAAACUUGUUGAAUUAGGAGUAGUUGUUAAGAACUUUUCUCAUUUUGGUUUCCAGGAGAAGGUUGGAGCAGCUACUGAAAAGAAUCAGGUAAACAAGGGGCCGAGUUCACCCCAUGAUGAAAUUCUUUUGUCUGAUUUGCUUGAUCUGAAAAUUAGAUGGCCAACUGAGCUGGAGACAGACAACACUAUUACAAAUAAGAAGCUAGAGCAAAGCAAAAGCUCUUACAGUUCGACUGUAGUCGACCUGGACAACUUCCUUUCUUUUACAAACAUAUCCAGUGCUUACAGAGAACAGACAGACAUAAGCGAUAAUAUUGGGACUGCAGUAAAUAAAACUGAUGGAAGUCAUGAGGAUCUUAGUUUGUUUGAGAAUCUCAGAUCCUCCGAACGGGCUGUGACCUCUGCUACUGUCCAAACUACUGAUGACAGAUCCUCUGAACGAGCUGUGACCUCUUCUACUGUCGAAACUACAAAUGACUUUACUGGAUGGAAAGCAGAUUUUCAGAGUGCUGAUUCAGGAGAGGAGAAUGUGUCUAACAAAUCUAUCACUCCUAUAGGUUCUGCAGGUCAGCAUGUGUUUACCACAUUUGGCACCUCUAUGAGUUCCACAGUUAGUUCUGGAAACCAGCAGGAGGGUUCCAAAUCAACUGAUGCGUUUGUUGGCUCAGAUAUUGAUCUUUCUGCUCAGUUAGAUACGGUUUUUGGAACCCCAAAAGGCCCAAUAGACAGAAAACUGACGGAUGUUGCAGCAGUUUCUCCUGCAGCUAAUGACUGGCCGGCAGUUGACCUAUGGGAUAUUGCAAAUUCGGGAGCAUCGCAAAAUGCUGGGGAAGUUCUUCCAAUUGUGAGACCUAAGGAUGCUGAAUUACAAGAUAGUUCAAAUGACCCCUCUACUAGCAUUGAUUGGUUUCAAGAUGACACAUGGCAGACUCAGAAUGCACCUGCACCUAAACAUGAUGCAGCAAAUGGAGAUCAUGAUUCUUUUGAUGAGUGGGAUACUUUUACAUCUUUCGCACCCAUCAUAGAUCCUUUUGAGAAUGCUCCUGCACCUAAAAAUGAUGCAGUAAAUGGAGAUCAUGAUUCAUUUGAUGAGUGGAAUACUUUUACCUCCUCUGCACCCAUCAAAGAUCCAUUUGAGAAGGCACCUACACCUAAACAUGAUACUGCAAAUGGGGAUGAUGAUUCCUUUGAUGAGUGGAAUACUUUUACCUCCUCUGUACCCACCAAAGAUCCAUUUGAGAAUAUUCUGGUGCAAAGCGACAAUGACAACAAUAAUAAUAAUGCAGAACUAACAAAUUUCAGUUCAAACCUUGAAGAUAUGGAUUUUGGCAGUUUUUCGCAGUCGGAUCCUUUUUCAGGUGCACCUGUUAAAGAGGCUGUUUCUGCGGAAGUGAAUGACAAUAUUUUGGAAGUUCCUACCAUAUUCAGGUGUGUUCAUAUUUUUAUUAUUUUUGUAAUAUGGCUGAUUUAGGAAGACUUCUUUUGAUUAGUGGAGAUUCCGAGGAACAUAGGCGUCAAAUAUUGUUCUUAUACUAUGGUUGGGGCGAAAAGAGGAGGGGCUGGAGGAUUGGCAGAAAAUCUGGGGAUUAGAGUAAGGGAGGCGAAGUAAAUUUAGAGGGGUAAUACCCCUCCACAUAAGAUUUUCCGAUUUGGACAGAAGGGAGGAAAUAAUUUGGAUUUAUUUCCUUCUAUACCAAAUGAUUGGAAGUAAAUUAUCAAAAUCUUACCUUGGGGAUAUAAACCAAUAAAUUUCUCUCUUUCACUCUCCCUCUCCCCUUCCUGAAGCCAAACAUAGAGUUAAGGUAGAAAUGGAGGAAUUAGAUCUUAACAUAAUGAAAAUCACAGAAUACGAGGCAAAGAAAAAGCAAUAGAAAAGAAAGGAGAAUCUGGAAGAAUGCAGGCUUCAACCAUGGCUUUUGAAAGUAAAAUAAACGAAUUAAAUCAAACUUUAGUAAGAAUCACAGAAUAUAAAAUAUUUGUAAAAUGGGAAAAGAAUCAAAAAGUAUGAGGAAGGAGCAAUGCAAGAAAAGAAUAUAGGAAAAAUACUGCAGUAUCCGCUGAAAGUUCCUUGGAGAAGGUAAGGGUACAAUAAGCUUAAGACAGUUUUGAAGUUUUAUUGGUUUAACUUUGUGCAAAUUUUGAGAAAGUAUAAAAUUCAACUUUGUGCAAAUUUGAGACAGAAGAAAAUAGGAACUGACUAUUGAUUGGUAACUGUCUUUCAUCCUGGAGGUGCAAGGUCCGAUUCUCACUAGACCCCUCUUCCCCUUUCACCUACCCUGUGCCUCCCUCGCCUGAAAACAAGAAAUUCACAGAAAUGGAAAAAAGAUGCGAACGUGUUCAUUAAAGGGUUUUUCAUUUGUAAUGACUUGGAAGUUGAAAGGUAGAAGUUUCUGGAAGAGGAGGAUUACAUGGGCUCUUUUGGAGCUGAGAGAGGAAAUUAUUUCCGUCUUCCCAGGAUGAGAGUUACGUGUUUCCUUGUCCCAGAGAGGUAAAAUCACAACAUUAACAAAAUGACUCAAAUCCAACCUAGUUUUGAAAAAAAAAUAAUCAAGAGAUAUUAUAGAUAUUUCCAAGGUGAUUGACUCGAUAGAUCUUUAUUACUCCUUUUGUUUCAAUUUAGAUGACACACUUUCCUUAUUAAUCCGUUCCAAAAAGAAUGACACAUUUCUACAAUUGGAAAUAAUUCAACUUUAAACUCUUCAUUUUAUCCAUUUUACCCUUAAUGGGAAGCUUUUAUAACCACACAAAUGUCAUGGCCCCACAAAGUUUUUACCCCUUAAGCUUUUAGGACCACAAGUUUCAAAAGUCUUCUUUUUUUUUCUCUUAAACUCCGUGCCGAGUCAAACUGCCUCAUCUAAAUUGAAACGGAGUGAGUACCUAUUUAUCCAGCUAUCUUCCUUGAAAAAAUAACAAGUAGCUGUUGACUAACUGAUGCUAGACCUUAAAUUGAUUUUCUUUUUUAUUCUGGAGAUUUCAUGAGAGCAGAGCAACUCAGCCCCUGCUCGCCCCCAAAAAAUGGAACAAAAGAGAAAAAAAGAAAAGAAAAAGAAGGCACAUUUGAGAGACUAGAUUCGAUCUGUGUCUGUUCAUAUUCUAGUUGUUGUUUAAUUGUUUGCUCAUUAAGAUCUAUUGUUCUUGAGAUAGAUGUUACCUUGGGAUUUGGCUAGAGUAUCCAAGUUGCAUUUUAAAUUGACUAUUGUUCUUCAGAGGGGUCAACUUGGGGACGCAGGGCAGUAGACUACCUGAGAAGAAGCAGUAGAAGAAAGAGAUCCAGAGGUAGAUGGAAAAGGGGAUUUUAGCUAGUUGGCAAAACAGAGAUACCUAUGACCUCUUUUAUUUUUGAGAAGAAGAAAAGAAAAGAGAGGUACCUUAUGACUUCCCUGAUGUAUCUAUUGAACCAUUUAGGGGACUAUAUAUAAUGGCUGACAAUGUUCACUAGCGAUACUGGAAAAGCUUAUGUCUAUUUUGAGAUAUCUACACAAUAUAUUUCAAUUGUGAUUGUAGAUGAAGAAUAAGAAACUGAGAAAUACUUAGGAGGCAAUACUUGGAGAGGUUGCCAUGUAAAAUCAUGAUUGUGUGCAUUUGAUUUUUUUUUUUUUUUUUUAAACUUCCUAAAUAUGAGUUCAAUCAACAAUUUCUUACAUUUCAUUUAACAUCUUUUAGUGCCGUUGAUACUCCAAGCAAGGUUGGUGAUAAUGCUGGACAUGCUUCAGAGAAUUCAGACAUUCGUGGUGAAUCGAAUCCAUCAAAAAAUGAUAUGGAUAUAGAAGGUAUAAUGUCGCAGAUGCAUGAUCUUUCUUUUAUGCUCGAGACCAAUCUAUCCAUUCCCUCGAAAUCUAGCAUUUCUCUUCCCAGGGAUUGAUACCUAGAUUUGUUCACUUGGUUAGUCUUCAAGAUUUAUGUAAUCAGGUCGAUCCUGUUCAUGUAUUUUAUUGUUAGAGAAUAUGAUUGUUUUUGUAGUUCGUUAUCUUAAGCCAAGAUCCUGUUCCGGAUAUCUUUUUGUAACCAAAAGGAGACGAGUUCUGUUUUUCGAUAGGGGUAAACAAAUGAACCUCCCCACAUCCCUAGAGUAGCUUUCUGGUCACGGAGUUUGCGAUGUAUUGUUUAUGGACCACUUUAUGAGAUACAUGUAGGAAGAUAUAUAAAGAUCAGAUUGUGUUACUACCAAGAUUUUCUUGUGGACUCUUCUGUAAAGAUCAGAUGUUUUCUCAUUUUCAGAAAGAAAAAAAAAUAGAUUGCUUUC
Molecule: long non-coding RNA, 8733 nt
Filed under: Nicotiana tabacum (common tobacco)
Lineage: Eukaryota; Viridiplantae; Streptophyta; Magnoliopsida; Solanales; Solanaceae
Description: long non-coding RNA (NTAB_LNC015457)
Source: RNAcentral